CCCAACUAUCCCUAUUAAUCAUUACGGUGAUCCUAGAAACCAACAAAAUAGAACCAUGCCGUCCUAUUUUAUUAUUCCAUGCUAAUCUAUUCAAGCACUAGCCCGCUUUAAGCACUCUAAUUUUUUCAAGGUAAUAGAUCUGCUUCCCCAACGCACUAAAUUAAUAGCAUGCUGGUUAUUCAGAAGGUAAGAAUCCAUCAAAUCAGUACGGACAAUUAAGCCCGACCAACUGACAAAUCCCGAAAUUCAAC
This 251-nucleotide ribosomal RNA is filed under the name uncultured Acaulospora. RNAcentral's name for it is "partial 18S ribosomal RNA". Lineage: Eukaryota; Fungi; Glomeromycota; Glomeromycetes; Diversisporales; Acaulosporaceae. The record is from RNAcentral.